GGAGCUAGGGUUAGGGUUAGGGUUAGGGUUGGAGUUAGGGUUGGUGUUGGAGCUAGGGUUAGGGUUGGGCUUUGAGCUAGGACUUUUCUGAGUGCAAUGAACCAACUCCCGAGUCUCUAGGACGUUCCCUAAAAAAAUUUGAUUUUUUCCCAUAGGAAUGCAUGGGUUAGGGUUAGGGUUAGGGUUAGGGUUGGAGCUAGGGUUAGGGUUAGGGUUAGGGUUGGAGUUAGGGUUAGUGUUGGAGCUAGGGUUAGGGUUGGGCUUGGAGCUAGGAUUUUUCUGAGUGCAAUGAACCAACUCCCGAGUCUCUAGGACGUUCCAAAAAAAAUUUGAUUUUUUCCCAUAGGAAUGCAUGGGUUAGGGUUAUGGUUAGGGUUAGGGUUGGAGCUAGGGUUAGGGUUAGGGUUAGGGUUGGAGUUAGGGUUAGUGUUGGCGCUAGGGUUAGGGUUGGGCUUGGAGCUAGGAUUUUUCUGAGUGCAAUGAACCAACUCCCGAGUCUCUAGGACGUUCCUAAAAAAAUUUGAUUUUUUCCCAUAGGAAUGCAUGGGUUAGGGUUAGGGUUAGGGUUGGAGCUAGGGUUAGGGUUAGGGUUAGGGUUGGAGAUAGGGUUAGUGUUGGAGCUAGGGUUAGGGUUGGGCUUGGAGCUAGGAUUUUUCUGAGUGCAAUGAACCAACUCCCGAGUCUCUAGGACGUUCCUAAAAAAAUUUGAUUUUUUCCCAUAGGAAUGCAUGGGUCAGGGUUAGGGUUAGGGUUGGAGCUAGGGUUAGGGUUAGGGUUAGGGUUGGAGUUAGGGUUAGUGUUGGAGCUAGGGUUAGGGUUGGGCUUGGAGCUAGGAUUUUUCUGAGUGCACUGAACCAACUCCCGAGUCUCUAGGACAUUCCUAAAAAAAUUUGAUUUUUUCCCAUAGGAAUGCAUGGGUUAGGGUUAGGGUUAGGGUUGGAGCUAGGGUUAGGGUUAGGGUUAGGGUUGGAGUUAGGGUUAGUGUUGGAGCUAGGGUUAGGGUUGGGCUUGGAGCUAGGAUUUUUCUGAGUGCACUGAACCAACUCCCGAGUCUCUAGGACAUUCCUAAAAAAAUUAGAUUUUUUCCCAUAGGAAUGCAUGGGUUAGGGUUAUGGUUAGGGUUAGGGUUGGAGCUAGGGUUAGGGUUAGGGUUAGGGUUGGAGUUAGGGUUGGUGUUGGAGCUAGGGUUAGGGUUGGGCUUUGAGCUAGGACUUUUCUGAGUGCAAUGAACCAACUCCCGAGUCUCUAGGACGUUCCCUAAAAAAAUUUGAUUUUUUCCCAUAGGAAUGCAUGGGUUAGGGUUAGGGUUAGGGUUAGGGUUGGAGCUAGGGUUAGGGUUAGGGUUAGGGUUAGAGUUAGGGUUAGUGUUGGAGCUAGGGUUAGGGUUGGGCUUGGAGCUAGGAUUUUUCUGAGUGCACUGAACCAACUCCCGAGUCUCUAGGACAUUCCUAAAAAAAAUUGACUUUUUCCCAUAGGAAUGCAUGGGUUAGGGUUAGGGUUAGGGUUAGGGUUGGAGCUAGGGUUAGGGUUAGGGUUAGGGUUGGAGUUAGGGUUAGUGUUGGAGCUAGGGUUAGGGUUGGGCUUGGAGCUAGGACUUUUCUGAGUGCAAUGAACCAACUCCCGAGUCUCUAGGACGUUCCCUAAAAAAAUUUGAUUUUUUCCCAUAGGAAUGCAUGGGUUAGGGUUAGGUGUGGGGUUGGAGCUAGGGUUAGGGUUAGGGUUAGGGUUGGAGUUAGGGUUAGUGUUGGAGCUAGGGUUAGGUUUGGGCUUGGAGCUAGGAUUUUUCUGAGUGCAAUGAACCAACUCCCGAGUCUCUAGGACGUUCCUAAAAAAUUUUGAUUUUUUCCCAUAGGAAUGCAUGGGUUAGGGUUAGGGUUAGGGUUGGAGCUAGGGUUAGGGUUAGGGUUAGGGUUGGAGUUAGGGUUAGUGUUGGAGCUAGGGUUAGGGUUGGGCUUGGAGCUAGGAUUUUUCUGAGUGCAAUGAACCAACUCCCGAGUCUCUAGGAAGUUCCUAAAAAAAUUUGAUUUUUUCCCAUAGGAAUGCAUGGGUUAGGGUUAGGGUUAGGGUUGGAGCUAGGGUUAGGGUUAGGGUUAGGGUUGGAGUUAGGGUUAGUGUUGGAGCGAGGGUUAGGGUUGGGCUUGGAGCUAGGAUUUUUCUGAGUGCAAUGAACCAACUCCCGAGUCUCUAGGACGUUCCUAAAAAAAUUUGAUUUUUUCCCAUAGGAAUGCAUGGGUUAGGGUUAGGGUUAGGGUUGGAGCUAGGGUUAGGGUUAGGGUUAGGGUUGGAGUUAGGGUUAGUGUUGGAGCUAGGGUUAGGGUUGGGCUUGGAGCUAGGAUUUUUCUGAGUGCAAUGAACCAACUCCCGAGUCUCUAGGACGUUCCUAAAAAAAUUUGAUUUUUUCCCAUAGGAAUGCAUGGGUUAGGGUUAGGGUUAGGGUUGGAGCUAGGGUUAGGGUUAGGGUUAGGGUUGGAGUUAGGGUUAGUGUUAGAGCUAGGGUAAGGUUUGGGCUUGGAGCUAGGAUUUUUCUGAGUGCAAUGAACCAACUCCCGAGUCUCUAGGACGUUCCUAAAAAAAUUUGAUUUUUUUCCAUAGGAAUGCAUGGGUUAGGGUUAUGGUUAGGGUUAGGGUUGGAGCUAGGGUUAGGGUUAGGGUUAGGGUUGGAGUUAGGGUUAGUGUUGGAGCUAGGGUUAGGGUUGGGCUUGGAGCUAGGAUUUAUCUGAGUGCAAUGAACCAACUCCCGAGUCUCUAGGACGUUCCUAAAAAAAUUUGAUUUUUUCCCAUAGGAAUGCAUGGGUUAGGGUUAGGGUUAGGGUUGGAGCUAGGGUUAGGGUUAGGGUUAGGGUUGCAGUUAGGGUUAGUGUUGGAGCUAGGGUAAGGUUUGGGCUUGGAGCUAGGAUUUUUCUGAGUGCAAUGAACCAACUCCCGAGUCUCUAGGACGUUCCUAAAAAAAUUUGAUUUUUUUCCAUAGGAAUGCAUGGGUUAGGGUUAGGGUUGGAGCUAGUGUUAGGGUUAGGGUUGGAGCUAGGGUUAGGGUUAGGGUUAGGGUUGGAGUUAGGGUUAGUGUUGGAGCUAGGGUUAGGGUUGGGCUUGGAGCUAGGAUUUUUCUGAGUGCAAUGAACCAACUCCCGAGGCUCUUGGACGUUCCUAAAAAAAUUAGAUUUUUUCCCAUAGGAAUGCAUGGGUUAGGGUUAGGGUUAGGGUUGGAGCUAGGGUUAGGGUUAGGGUUAGGGUUGGAGUUAGGGUUAGUGUUGGAGCUAGGGUUAGGGUUGGGCUUGGAGCUAGGAUUUUUCUGAGUGCAAUGAACCAACUCCCGAGUCUCUAGGACGUUCCUAAAAAAAUUUGAUUUUUUCCCAUAGGAAUGCAUGGGUUAGGGUUAGGGUUAGGGUUGGAGCUAGGGUUAGGGUUAGGGUUAGGGUUGGAGUUAAGGUUAGUGUUGGAGCUAGGGUUAGGGUUGGGCUUGGAGCUAGGAUUUUUCUGAGUGCAGUGAACCAACUCCCGAGUCUCUAGGACGUUCCUAAAAAAAUUUGAUUUUUUCCCAUAGGAAUGCAUGGGUUAGGGUUAUGGUUAGGGUUAGGGUUGGAGCUAGGGUUAGGGUUAGGGUUAGGGUUGGAGUUAGGGUUAGUGUUGGAGCUAGGGUUAGGGUUGGGCUUGGAGCUAGGAUUUUUCUGAGUGCAAUGAACCAACUCCCGAGUCUCUAGGACGUUCCUAAAAAAAUUUGAUUUUUUCCCAUAGGAAUGCAUGGGUUAGGGUUAGGGUUAGGGUUGGAGCUAGGGUUAGGGUUAGGGUUGGAGUUAGGGUUAGUGUUGGAGCUAGGGUUAGGGUUGGGCUUGGAGCUAGGAUUUUUCUGAGUGCACUGAACCAACUCCCGAGUCUCUAGGACAUUCCUAAAAAAAUUUGAUUUUUUCCCAUAGGAAUGCAUGGGUUAGGGUUAUGGUUAGGGUUAGGGUUGGAGCUAGGGUUAGGGUUAGGGUUAGGGUUGGAGUUAGGGUUAGUGUUGGAGCUAGGGUUAGGGUUGGGCUUGGAGCUAGGAUUUUUCUGAGUGCAAUGAACCAACUCCCGAGUCUCUAGGACGUUCCUAAAAAAAUUUGAUUUUUUCCCAUAGGAAUGCAUGGGUUAGGGUUAGGGUUAGGGUUGGAGCUAGGGUUAGGGUUAGGGUUAGGGUUGGAGUUAGGGUUAGUGUUAGAGCUAGGGUAAGGUUUGGGCUUGGAGCUAGGAUUUUUCUGAGUGCAAUGAACCAACUCCCGAGUCUCUAGGACGUUCCUAAAAAAAUUUGAUUUUUUCCCAUAGGAAUGCAUGGGUUAGGGUUAGGGUUAGGGUUGGAGCUAGGGUUAGGGUUAGGGUUAGGGUUGCAGUUAGGGUUAGUGUUGGAGCUAGGGUAAGGUUUGGGCUUGGAGCUAGGAUUUUUCUGAGUGCAAUGAACCAACUCCCGAGUCUCUAGGACGUUCCUAAAAAAAUUUGAUUUUUUUCCCAUAGGAAUGCAUGGGUUAGGGUUAUGGUUAGGGUUAGGGUUGGAGCUAGGGUUAGGGUUAGGGUUAGGGUUGGAGUUAGGGUUAGUGUUGGAGCUAGGGUUAGGGUUGGGCUUGGAGCUAGGAUUUAUCUGAGUGCAAUGAACCAACCCCCGAGUCUCUAGGACGUUCCUAAAAAAAUUUGAUUUUUUCCCAUAGGAAUGCAUGGGUUAGGGUUAUGGUUAGCGUUAGGGUUGGAGCUAGGGUUAGGGUUAGGGUUAGGGUUGGAGUUAGGGUUAGUGUUGGAGCUAGGGUUAGGGUUGGGCUUGGAGCUAGGAUUUUUCUGAGUGCACUGAACCAACUCCCGAGUCUCUAGGACGUUCCUAAAAAAAUUUGAUUUUUUCCCAUAGGAAUGCAUGGGUCAGGGUUAGGGUUAGGGUUGGAGCUAGGGUUAGGGUUAGGGUUAGGGUUGGAGUUAGGGUUAGUGUUGGAGCUAGGGUUAGGGUUGGGCUUGGAGCUAGGAUUUUUCUGAGUGCAAUGAACCAACUCCCGAGUCUCUAGGACGUUCCUAAAAAAAUUUGAUUUUUUCCCAUAGGAAUGCAUGGGUUAGGGUUAGGGUUAGGGUUAGGGUUGGAGCUAGGGUUAGGGUUAGGGUUAGGGUUGGAGUUAGGGUUAGUGUUGGAGCUAGGGUUAGGGUUGGGCUUGGAGCUAGGAUUUUUCUGAGUGCAAUGAACCAACUCCCGAGUCUCUAGGACGUUCCUAAAAAAAUUUGAUUUUUUCCCAUAGGAAUGCAUGGGUUAGGGUUAGGGUUAGGGUUGGAGCUAGGGUUAGGGUUAGGGUUAGGGUUGGAGUUAGGGUUAGUGUUGGAGCUAGGGUUAGGGUUGGGCUUGGAGCUAGGAUUUUUCUGAGUGCAAUGAACCAACUCCCGAGUCUCUAGGACGUUCCUAAAAAAAUUUGAUUUUUUCCCAUAGGAAUGCAUGGGUUAGGGUUAGGGUUAGGGUUGGAGCUAGGGUUAGGGUUAGGGUUAGGGUUGGAGUUAGGGUUAGUGUUGGAGCUAGGGUUAGGGUUGGGCUUGGAACUAGGACUUUUCUGAGUGCAAUGAACCAACUCCCGAGUCUCUAGGACGUUCCCUAAAAAAAUUUGAUUUUUUCCCAUAGGAAUGCAUGGGUUAGGGUUAGGGUUAGGGUUGGAGCUAGGGUUAGGGUUAGGGUUAGGGUUAGAGUUAGGGUUAGUGUUGGAGCUAGGGUUAGGGUUGGGCUUGGAGCUAGGAUUUUUCUGAGUGCACUGAACCAACUCCCGAGUCUCUAGGACGUUCCUAAAAAAAUUUGAUUUUUUCCCAUAGGAAUGCAUGGGUUAGGGUUAGGGUUAGGGUUGGAGCUAGGGUAAGGGUUAGGGUUAGGGUUGGAGUUAGGGUUAGUGUUGGAGCUAGGGUUAGGGUUGGGCUUGGAGCUAGGACUUUUCUGAGUGCAAUGAACCAACUCCCGAGUCUCUAGGACGUUCCCUAAUAAAAUUUGAUUUUUUCCCAUAGGAAUGCAUGGGUUAGGGUUAGGGUUAGGG
RNAcentral lists this long non-coding RNA (6002 nucleotides) under Xyrichtys novacula (pearly razorfish). Lineage: Eukaryota; Metazoa; Chordata; Actinopteri; Labriformes; Labridae. The record is from RNAcentral.